Molecule: long non-coding RNA, 1833 nt
Organism: Oncorhynchus tshawytscha (Chinook salmon)
Lineage: Eukaryota; Metazoa; Chordata; Actinopteri; Salmoniformes; Salmonidae
Source: Ensembl
UAGGGAUGAAAUAAGGAAGGAAGGAAGGAUACAUUUAUCUGUUGGAACAUGGUCACAGUCUCCGGGCGUACGUACGAGCGACAGUGGGCGCGCGCACAAAUACACACAUCCCAGACAACACGCACUAAACCUCUGUCCAAACUUUCCUCCCCUUCAGUCUGUGCGUGACUCGCCAAGUCGUGAGAGCGCAAGAAGAACUUUCCGCUCUCUAGCACGGCUUAAAUUCGCGUUUUAAUUCCGCUACCAAGCUGUGGAGGUCUCAGUGCGGUGUUCGGGUUACUUUGGUGAUGGGUGCACCAUGGGAAACAAGAUCAGCAGAAGACGGGACACUGCACCAGCCGAGCAGAAGGCUGCAGAGGAGGCAAUCGACACGCAGGAAGCUGUGGUGGAGGCAGUAGCUGAUGCGCCAGUGGUGGUUGCAGAGGUGACUGAACCAGUAGUAGAAUCAGUGCCAGCACCGGUACAGGAGGCUGAGCCAGAGCCCCCCAAGCAGCCAGAGACUGCACCCUCAUUGGAGGAGCCGGUGAGCGUCCCACUAGUAGCCCCAGCACCACCUGAACCCGAGCCCCUGGUGUCAGUCAGCAAACCAGUGCCAGUCGCCCCGGAGCCAAAGCCAGUCGCCCCGGAGCCAAAGCCAGUCGCCCGGAGCCAAAGCCAGUCGCCCGGAGCCAAAGCCAGUCGCCCGGAGCCAAAGCCAGUCGCCCCGGCGCCAAAGCCAGUCGCCCCGGAGCCAAAGCCAGUCGUCAUAGAACAGGAGGCUGUCCCAGAGCCAAACCUCUCCCAGGAGUUCCUCCUACAGCCAGUCAUUCCAGAGACCCUCCCCUCCCCCACCCCUCUUCUGGACCUGGGUGUCCCUGAGCUGACCCCUGAGCCCCUCGAUGCUCCCCCCUCCCACAGAUCUGCCCCAGACCAGCCCACAGACCUGGGGGGUGCAGAAUGCUAUGACGACAACGUAAAGGGUGCCUGGAAUUCUGUCUCCGUCCCAGAAGAGUCCAAAGAAACCCCGGAGAAGCCAGCAACCAUGGCGGAGAAGCUUCUGUGUGAUGUCAUGGGCAGCGAGCUGAGCAAAGCGGAUUCUUCAACCACUUAGCCCUGACGGCCGAUGACAUCAUGGUCAAUGAUGUCAUAGCAGACGACAUUUCGGAAGGUGACGUGUCCACUGAGCUGAUAUGGGAGAAGAAAAUAAAAAUAAGAACUAGAAGAAAAAAAUGGACAAUGACGUUCUAAAAAAGGCAGACGCAAGCAGAAAAAAAAUGUAUAAAAAAAGAAUACAACUUUGAUCUGAGAAGGCUAAAGGGAAAACUAAGACCGUGAAGUAGCACUCAGAUAAUCUGAGACCUGGGAUGUAUUCCCUAGGAACCAAGUGUACGCAAACAGAAUUAAACUGGGUGGGACCUACAUGAAUUUGUCCAAUAGAAAUUCUAGUUUCUGUUGCGAAACAUUUUGGAAUAAUGAUUAGACCCCAGGUAAUAGACGUGCCUUUCUUUCUGAGUGUAGGUUGACUAAAGGGAUUUGGUGAUGGGUGGCCAGGGCAGAAGUGUACCCAUCAUCGCCCUCUGAGCCAUAUAGACAUAACACUGCAUAGCAGAACACUUACAGUAACUAUAUGUGGUAACUAUGUAUGACAAGACGUUUGCCUUGGUGUGUACACCUGAUGAAUUGUAACAACGUUUGAAAUUGGCCUACAUACUAUGAUGUACAUUCAUGCUUGGACUCUCACAAUCCUUCCUCUUUAACUCUGAAACGGAGGUGACCUUAUUAUAUUUCCUUGGAGGAAUGUAUUAAAGGUGAUGGUCUGGUUGUGAAAAUAAAAUAAGAUUGUUCCACCUUGAA